This 771-nucleotide ribosomal RNA is filed under the name uncultured Neocallimastigales. RNAcentral describes it as "partial large subunit ribosomal RNA". It matches the Rfam family "Eukaryotic large subunit ribosomal RNA", at positions 22 to 646 of the family's 3401-position model. The record is from RNAcentral. Lineage: Eukaryota; Fungi; Neocallimastigomycota; Neocallimastigomycetes; Neocallimastigales.
GUACACGCUGUGACUAGCAUAUCAAUAAGCGGAGGAAAAGAAACUAACAAGGAUUCCCUUAGUAACGGCGAGUGAAGCGGGAAGAGCUCAAAUUUGAAAUCUUCAAGGUUUUACCUUGACGAAUUGUAGUUUAAAGAAGUGUUUCUGCUGAAGUUUUGGUAAAAGUUCUUUGGAAUAGGACAUCAUAGAGGGUGAGAAUCCCGUAUUUGACCAUUAUUUUCAGCUUUGUGAUACACUUUCAAAGAGUCGGAUUGUUUGGGAAUGCAGUCCAAAAUGGGUGAUAAAUUUCAUCUAAAGCUAAAUAUUGGCGAGAGACCGAUAGCGAACAAGUACCGUGAGGGAAAGAUGAAAAGAACUUUGAAAAGAGAGUUAAACAGUACGUGAAAUUGUCAAAAGGGAAGCGUUUAACACCAGUGUUGUUUUCUGAAAAUCAACCUCUGUUAGCUUUAUGCAUGUUUGUUUAGACCUAAUCAGCUAUCUUGCAUGUUCUAUUGUUUGCAGUGGUGCACUUUUCAGUUUACAGGUCAACAUCAGCUUUUUUUUACCGUAAAAAAGUUAAAGAAAGGUAGCUCAUGGCUCCGGUCGUGAGUGUUAUAGUCUUUUUCCUAUGCGGUAGGAGAGACUGAGGUCUGCAGUGUAGGCUAUUUGGCUAGAUACUCAGGUGCUAUGUGAUACCAUUUCAUAAACAACUUGUUGAUUAUGUUUUGUCUAUUGCAUACUCGCUUGUACUAUCAUACCUACGCUUAGGAUGUUGAGUAGCGACAUACGCAC